This is a non-coding RNA of Pelobates cultripes (western spadefoot toad), 219 nucleotides long. Lineage: Eukaryota; Metazoa; Chordata; Amphibia; Anura; Pelobatidae. The record is from the annotation of a GenBank genome assembly.
UUUCAGUCCUUCACAGCGUAGUGUGUUACCAAUUGUUUUCUUGGUAACUAUGGUCUCAGCUGCCUUGAGAUCAAUAACAAAAUCCUCCUGUUUAGUUCUGGGCUGAUUCCUUACAUCAUUCAAACUCCACGAGGUGAGAUCUUGCAUGGAGCACCAGACCGAGGGAGACUGACAGUUAUUUUGUGUUUCUUCAUUUGCGAAUAAUUGCACCAACUGUUG